UACGGGGGGGGCAAGCGUUGUUCGGAAUUACUGGGCGUAAAGGGCGCGUAGGCGGUCCGUUAAGUUAGAUGUGAAAACUCUGGGCUCAACCCAGAGCCUGCAUCUAAUACUGACGGGCUAGAGUUCUGGAGGGGGUAGCGGAAUUCCUGGUGUAGCGGUGAAAUGCGUAGAUAUCAGGAGGAACACCAGUGGCGAAGGCGGCUCACUGGACCGGUACUGACGCUGAUGCGCGAAAGCGUGGGGAGCAAACGGG
This 253-nucleotide ribosomal RNA is filed under the name uncultured bacterium. RNAcentral describes it as "partial 16S ribosomal RNA". It matches the Rfam family "Bacterial small subunit ribosomal RNA", at positions 524 to 776 of the family's 1533-position model. The record is from RNAcentral.